UGAGGAAUAUUGGACAAUGGGCGGGAGCCUGAUCCAGCCAUGCCGCGUGCGGGAAGACUGCCCUAUGGGUUGUAAACUGCUUUUUUACGGGAAGAAACACCCCCACGUGUGGGGGCUUGACGGUACCGUACGAAUAAGGACCGGCUAACUCCGUGCCAGCAGCCGCGGUAAUACGGAGGGUCCGAGCGUUAUCCGGAAUCAUUGGGUUUAAAGGGUCCGUAGGCGGGCGUCUAAGUCAGUGGUGAAAUCCCGCAGCUCAACUGUGGAAUUGCCAUUGAUACUGGUCGCCUUGAAUUAGUGUGAAGUGGCUAGAAUAUGUAGUGUAGCGGUGAAAUGCUUAGAUAUUACAUAGAAUACCGAUUGCGAAGGCAGGUCACUAACACUAUAUUGACGCUGAUGGACGAAAGCGUGGGGAGCGAACAGGAUUAGAUACCCUGGUAGUCCACGCCGUAAACGAUGGAUACUAGCUGUCCGGCCUGCAUUGGUAGGCUGGGUGGCCAAGCGAAAGUGAUAAGUACCCCACCUGGGGAGUACGUUCGCAAGAAUG
Molecule: ribosomal RNA, 547 nt
Filed under: uncultured bacterium
Lineage: Bacteria
Description: bacterial SSU rRNA
Rfam family: Bacterial small subunit ribosomal RNA
Source: RNAcentral